Molecule: ribosomal RNA, 483 nt
Filed under: uncultured bacterium
Lineage: Bacteria
Description: bacterial SSU rRNA
Rfam family: Bacterial small subunit ribosomal RNA
Source: RNAcentral
GACGAACGCUGGCGGCGUGCCUAACACAUGCAAGUCGAGCGGAGUCGAUCGACGGAAGCCUUCGGGCGGAAGAUGGUUGACUUAGCGGCGGAUGGGUGAGUAACGCGUGGGCAACCUGCCUCGAAGACCGGGAUAACAGCCCGAAAGGGCUGCUAAUACCGGAUGUGGUCAAGGAUCCGCAUGGAUUUUUGAUUAAAGGGGAAACCCGUUUCGAGAUGGGCCCGCGUCCUAUCAGCUAGUUGGUGAGGUAAAAGCUCACCAAGGCGACGACGGGUAGCCGGCCUGAGAGGGUGACCGGCCACACUGGAACUGAGACACGGUCCAGACUCCUACGGGGGGCAGCAGUGGGGAAUCUUCCACAAUGGGCGAAAGCCUGAUGGAGCGACGCCGCGUGAGCGAAGAAGGCCUUCCGGUUGUAAAGCUCUGUCUGGAGGGACGAAGGAAGUGACGGUACCUCCGGAGGAAGCCACGGCUAACUACGUG